Molecule: ribosomal RNA, 425 nt
Filed under: uncultured bacterium
Lineage: Bacteria
Description: bacterial SSU rRNA
Rfam family: Bacterial small subunit ribosomal RNA
Source: RNAcentral
GGGGAAUAUUGGACAAUGGGCGCAAGCCUGAUCCAGCAAUGCCGCGUGGGUGAAGACGGCCUGCGGGUUGUAAAGCCCUUUAGGUGGGGAGGAAAGGUGGUACGCGAAUAACGUGCCGCACUGACGUUACCCACAGAAUAAGCACCGGCUAACUCCGUGCCAGCAGCCGCGGUAAUACGGAGGGUGCAAGCGUUAAUCGGAAUUACUGGGCGUAAAGCGUGUGUAGGCGGUAAAGUCGGUCAGGCGUGAAAGCCCUGGGCUUAACCGGGGAACGGCGUUUGAGACGGCUUAACUCGAGUGGGCUAGAGGAUCGUGGAAUUCCGGGUGUAGCGGUGAAAUGCGUAGAGAUCCGGAGGAACACCGAUGGCGAAGGCAGCGAUCUGGGGCCACACUGACGCUGAGACACGAAAGCGUGGGGAGCAAAC